This 497-nucleotide ribosomal RNA is filed under the name uncultured bacterium. RNAcentral's name for it is "partial 16S ribosomal RNA". It matches the Rfam family "Bacterial small subunit ribosomal RNA", at positions 28 to 507 of the family's 1533-position model. The record is from RNAcentral.
GAUGAACGCUGGCGGCGUGCCUAAUACAUGCAAGUCGAGCGAACAGACGAGGAGCUUGCUCCUCUGACGUUAGCGGCGGACGGGUGAGUAACACGUGGAUAACCUACCUAUAAGACUGGGAUAACUUCGGGAAACCGGAGCUAAUACCGGAUAAUAUAUUGAACCGCAUGGUUCAAUAGUGAAAGACGGUUUUGCUGUCACUUAUAGAUGGAUCCGCGCCGCAUUAGCUAGUUGGUAAGGUAACGGCUUACCAAGGCAACGAUGCGUAGCCGACCUGAGAGGGCGAUCGGCCACACUGUAACUGAGACACGGUCCAGACUCCUACGGGAGGCAGCAGUAGAGAAUCUUCCGCAAUGGGCGAAUGCCUGACGGAGCAACGCCGCGUGAGUGAUGAAGGUCUUCGGAUCGUAAAACGCUGUUAUUAGGGAAGAACAAAUGUGUAAGUAACUAUGCACGUCUUGACGGUACCUAAUCAGAAAGCCACGGCUAACUACGUG